CCAAACUGUUGCCUCGGCGGGAUCUCUGCCCCGGGUGCGUCGCAGCCCCGGACCAAGGCGCCCGCCGGAGGACCAACCAAAACUCUUUUUGUAUACCCCCUCGCGGGUUUUUUUUUUAUAAUCUGAGCCUUCUCGGCGCCUCUCGUAGGCGUUUCGAAAAUGAAUCAAAACUUUCAACAACGGAUCUCUUGGUUCUGGCAUCGAUGAAAAACGCAGCGAAAUGCGAUAAGUAAUGUGAAUUGCAAAAUUCAGUGAAUCAUCGAAUCUUUGAACGCACAUUGCGCCCGCCAGUAUUCUGGCGGGCAUGCCUGUCCGAGCGUCAUUUCAACCCUCGAACCCCUCCGGGGGGUCGGCGUUGGGGAUCGGCCCUGCCUCUUGGCGGUGGCCGUCUCCAAAAUACAGUGGCGGUCUCGCCGCAGCCUCUCCUGCGCAGUAGUUUGCACACUCGCAUCGGGAGCGCGGCGCGUCCACAGCCGUUAAACACCCAACUUCUGAAAUGUUGACCUCGGAUCAGGUAGGAAUACCCGCUGAACUUAAGCAUAUCAAUAAGCGGAGGAA
RNAcentral lists this ribosomal RNA (558 nucleotides) under Trichoderma harzianum. Its description in RNAcentral is "eukaryotic LSU rRNA". The stretch from base 169 to 322 matches the Rfam family "5.8S ribosomal RNA". The record is from RNAcentral. Lineage: Eukaryota; Fungi; Ascomycota; Sordariomycetes; Hypocreales; Hypocreaceae.